Molecule: non-coding RNA, 279 nt
Organism: Coffea arabica (coffee)
Lineage: Eukaryota; Viridiplantae; Streptophyta; Magnoliopsida; Gentianales; Rubiaceae
Source: RefSeq, a predicted model, not a curated record
AUCCUCAAUCCAAUAUCUGAACUUCACUCUUGGUUCUGGAGACUGAAAGCGCUGAGACUUAUUCAUGUUUCUUUUCUUCUCGUAUGGGAUGUAACGAAUAUUAUGGCUAUUGUGUAGGCUUGUAUUGUGUUUUAACUUGAAUUCUGUACUUUUACUUUUGGAUUGCCGCUUGAAGCUGGAAAAUGUGUAAACCCUAUUUCGGAGGUUGGAUAAUAUAUUUGUGUUUGUGAAUUAUGGAUUGAUGUAUCUAGAUACGAACGACCUUAUUCCUUGGUUCUA